CAGGUGCUAAUCCGGAGAUUCCCGAAUGGGGAAACCCGCUCAAGCGAUCCUUGAGCACCUUUAUGCUGAACACAUAGGCAUAGAGGGGGGAACCGGGUGAACUGAAACAUCUUAGUAACCCGAGGAAGAGAAAUCAUUCCCUGAGUAGUGGCGAGCGAAAGGGGAAAAGCCCAAACCUGUGUUGUGCCAAGACCGUAGUCGUUGCAACACAGGGGUUGUAGGACCCGUCAGGGAGCGCUACGGCGCUUCCAGGGAGUUACCAAUCUGGCUGCUAGCAGAACUGAACUGGAAUGGCAGACCAUAGAGGGUGACAGUCCCGUACGCGAAAGCGGACCAGACUCCCGACGGUGAUCCUGAGUACCACGGGGCACGCUAAUCCUGUGGGAAGCAGGGAGGUCCAUCUCCCAAGGCUAAACACUCCUGAUGACCGAUAGUGAACAAGUACCGCGAGGGAAAGGUGAAAAGUCCCCCGGUGAGGGGAGUGAAAUAGAACCUGAAACCGUGUGUCUACAAUCAGUCGAAGCGCGGUGGCGACCUUCGGGUUGCCCGCGCAACGGCGUGCCUUUUGGAGAAUGAGCCGGCGAGUUACUCUCUGUAGCAAGGUUAAGCCAGUGACAGGCGGAGCCGCAGCGAAAGCGAGUCUGAAUAGGGCGUUCAGUUGCAGGGAGUAGACACGAAACCGGGUGAGCUACCCAUGGCCAGGUUGAAGCGAGAGUAAUGUCUCGUGGAGGACCGAACCGGUGUAUGUUGCAAAAUGCUCGGAUGAGCUGUGGGUAGGGGUGAAAUGCCAAUCGAACUCGGAGAUAGCUUGUUCUCCCCGAAAUAGCUUUUGGGCUAGCGUCGCGCGUUUAGUACCGGAGGUAGAGCACUGGAUUGGCUAGGGGGCCUAUCGCUUACCAAACCAAACCAAACUCCGAAUGCCGGUACUCCAAAGCGCGGCAGUCGGACUACGGGAGAUGAGUUUCGUGGUCGAGAGGGGAAGAGCCCAGACCGUCAGCUAAGGUCCCUAAGUGUAGGCUAAGUGGGAAAGGAUGUGGGAUUACCGAGACAUCCAGGAGGUUGGCUUAGAAGCAGCCAUCCUUUAAAGAGUGCGUAAUAGCUCACUGGUCUAGUGAUCCUGCGCCGAAAACGUAACGGGGCUAAAGCCUACUACCGAAGCUACGGGUCUCCCCGUCCUUGCGACGGAGGGGCAGUAGGGGAGCGUUCUGCGGGAGAUACGAGUCGGACCGUAAGGACCGGAUGCGGCCCGCAGAAGUGAGAAUGCCGGCAUGAGUAGCGAAAAACACGUGAGAAACGUGUUCACCGUAUACCCAAGGUUUCCGACGGAAGGUUAAUCCGCGUCGGGUUAGUCGGGCCUAAGCCGAGGCCGAAAGGCGUAGGCGAUGGACAACAGGUCAAUAUUCCUGUACCACUUGGAUGGAGCGAUGGGGGGACGCAGAAGGGUAGGCCUACGAAGGCCGGAGAUGCUGUCGUGCCAAGUCUGUAGGGCGUCGAUUGUCGUAGGUAAAUCCGCGACAGGAGCCUGAGAGGCGAUGGUAAGCUCCGUAAUUGGAGUGAUGUGGCUGAGCCCAUGCUGCCGAGAAAAACCUCUAAGCGAUGAAGUUCAGGUGCCCGUACCGCAAACCGACACAGGUGGGUGGGGAGAAAAUCCCAAGGUGAUCGGGAGAACCAUCGUUAAGGAAUUAGGCAAUCUAGAUCCGUAACUUCGGGAGAAGGAUCGCCUCGACUGGUGAUGUGACUAGCUUGCUGAGCUGGUCGAGGCCGCAGUGAAAUGGCCCUACCGACUGUUUAACAAAACCACAGGUCUCUGCAAAAGCGUAAGCUGAUGUAUAGGGGCUGACACCUGCCCAGUGCCGGAAGGUUAAAGGGAGGGGUUAGCGUAAGCGAAGCUCUGAUCUGAAGCCAAGGUAGCGAAAUUCCUUGUCGGGUAAGUUCCGACCCGCACGAAUGGUGUAACGAGUGGGGCGCUGUCUCGACGAUGGACCCGGCGAAAUUGAACUACGUGUGAAGAUACGCGUUACCCGCAGCAAGACAAAAAGACCCCGUGGAGCUUUACUGUAACUUGGCAUUGAAUUAGGGCUUGGUCUGUGUAGGAUAGCUGGGAGACUGAGAAGCUGGGGCGCCAGCCUCGGUGGAGUCAACCUUGAAAUACCAGCCUGAUUAAGUCUUGGUCCUAACCGGUGUCCGUAAUCCGGCAUCGGGACAGUGCCAGGCAGGCAGUUUGACUGGGGCGGUCGCCUCCUAAAAAGUAACGGAGGCGCCCAAAGGUUCCCUCAGGCUGAAUGGAAACCAGCCAUAGAGUGUAAAGGCAUAAGGGAGCUUGACUGCAAGACCCACAAGUCGAGCAGAGACGAAAGUCGGGCUUAGUGAUCCCACGGUACCGAGUGGAAGGGCCGUGGCUUACCGGAUAAAAGCUACCCCGGGGAUAACAGGGUAGUCUGGCCCAAGCGUUCACAGCGACGGCCAGGUUCGCCACCUCGAUGUCGGCUCGUCACAUCCUGGGGCUGGAGUAGGUCCCAAGGGUUGGGCUGUUCGCCCAUUAAAGUGGCACGCGAGCUGGGUUCAGACCGUCGUGAGACAGGUCGGUCUCUAUCUGCUGUGGGCGUAGGUGACUUGAGGAGAGCUGCUCCUAGUACGAGAGGACCGGAGUGGACCGACCGCUGGUGUGCCAGUUGUCCCGCCAGGGGCAUUGCUGGGUAGCUAUGUCGGGCAGAGAUAACCGCUGAAAGCAUCUAAGUGGGAAACUCGCUUCAAGAUGAGGUCACCCAUCCCGUUAAGGGAGUAAGACCGCGAGAAGACGACUCGUUUGAUAGGCGGCAUGUGUAAGCACAGUAAUGUGUUAAGCUUAGCCGUACUAAUGGUCGAGGGCUUAAUUC
RNAcentral lists this ribosomal RNA (2876 nucleotides) under alkali sediment metagenome. RNAcentral describes it as "bacterial LSU rRNA". It matches the Rfam family "Bacterial large subunit ribosomal RNA". The record is from RNAcentral.